UGGUUCUGCAGAAAGUGAUUGGUGUUUAAAGUAAAAAAGACUUGGGUGGGUAGAGGAAGGAUCCACCCUGGAAAAUGAGAGAAGGGCAGCUCCAGAAACAACUCCAACCCUGUUUUCUAUUCCUGCCCCUGGCCCUGUAGGCUGGAUCUCUGUUUGAAGUGGAUUUCUCCUUGCUGGAUGGAGUCAAGCCUAAUGUCAUCAUUUUUAAGCAGCAAUGCGUGGCAGCCCCUUUGGUCAUGCUGAAGCUUCAGCCUGAUGGAGGACUCUUACCCAUGGUCAUCCAGCUCCAGCCACCUUGACACGGAUGUCCCCCACCUCUGCUCUUUCUGCCCUCGCAUCCCCCCAUGGCCUGGCUCCUGGCCAAGACCUGGGUCCGGAGCUCUGAUUUCCAGCUGCAGCAGUUACAGUCACAUCUGCUGAGGGGACACUUGAUUGCUGAGGUUAUUGCUGUGGCUACAAUGAGAAGCUUGCCUAGCCUCCAUCCUAUCUACAAGGUACUUCAGCAUCUCUGUCAUUCUGUAUCUGACUGUCCUUCAU
This 537-nucleotide long non-coding RNA is filed under the name Homo sapiens (human). Its description in RNAcentral is "non-protein coding lnc-ALOX12-1:10". The record is from RNAcentral. Lineage: Eukaryota; Metazoa; Chordata; Mammalia; Primates; Hominidae.